RNAcentral lists this transfer RNA (72 nucleotides) under Ramlibacter sp. Its description in RNAcentral is "tRNA-Arg". It matches the Rfam family "tRNA". From Rfam's summary of the family: Transfer RNA (tRNA) molecules are approximately 80 nucleotides in length. Their secondary structure includes four short double-helical elements and three loops (D, anti-codon, and T loops). Further hydrogen bonds mediate the characteristic L-shaped molecular structure. tRNAs have two regions of fundamental functional importance: the anti-codon, which is responsible for specific mRNA codon recognition, and the 3' end, to which the tRNAs corresponding amino acid is attached (by aminoacyl-tRNA synthetases). tRNAs cope with the degeneracy of the genetic code in two manners: having more than one tRNA (with a specific anti-codon) for a particular amino acid; and 'wobble' base-pairing, i.e. permitting non-standard base-pairing at the 3rd anti-codon position. Lineage: Bacteria; Pseudomonadati; Pseudomonadota; Betaproteobacteria; Burkholderiales; Comamonadaceae. The record is from RNAcentral.
GCCGUAAUUCAACGGCUAGAACGAGAGCCUCCUAAGCGCUAGAUAUGGGUUCGAUUCCCGUCGGAGGCACCA